GCCGCCGUAGCUCAACGGUAGAGCCGCCGACUUGUAAUCGGCAGGUUGGGGGUUCAAAUCUCCCCGGCGGCU
RNAcentral lists this transfer RNA (72 nucleotides) under Clostridia bacterium. Its description in RNAcentral is "tRNA-Thr". It matches the Rfam family "tRNA". From Rfam's summary of the family: Transfer RNA (tRNA) molecules are approximately 80 nucleotides in length. Their secondary structure includes four short double-helical elements and three loops (D, anti-codon, and T loops). Lineage: Bacteria; Bacillati; Bacillota; Clostridia. The record is from RNAcentral.